UACGUAGGGGGCUAGCGUUGUCCGGAUUUAUUGGGCGUAAAGAGCGUGUAGGCGGCCAGGUAGGUCUGGUGUGAAAACUCGAGGCUUAACCUCGAGAUGUCAUCGGAAACCAUUUGGCUAGAGUCCGGAAGAGGAGAGUGGAAUUCCUGGUGUAGCGGUGAAAUGCGCAGAUAUCGGGAAGAACACCCGUGGCGAAGGCGGCUCUCUGGGACGGUACUGACGCUGAGACGCGAAAGCGUGGGGAGCGAACAGG
Molecule: ribosomal RNA, 253 nt
Filed under: uncultured bacterium
Lineage: Bacteria
Description: partial 16S ribosomal RNA
Rfam family: Bacterial small subunit ribosomal RNA
Source: RNAcentral